Mangifera indica (mango) is the source of this 873-nucleotide RNA transcript. RefSeq lists it as uncharacterized. NCBI's taxonomy places the organism in Eukaryota, Viridiplantae, Streptophyta, Magnoliopsida, Sapindales, Anacardiaceae. The transcript has 3 exons. The record is from RefSeq and is a predicted model, not a curated record.
GGGAUAUUUUGAGUAUUUACAAAGAAAUCUUGGCCUUCGAUUUGCGCCAUUUGGUAAACUCCACUGUGAUGUUGCCACGUCAUCAGAUCAUGGGGCAGGUCUAGUCUGAAGUGGCGAGUUUUGUUCCUCUGGUUUCAGGCUACCACCUAAUUUGCACACAUUGUUCCUCUCUACCAUCGAGGCUGGCCUUUGAAUUUUCAAAGCGCUUUUUCCUCCCAUUAAAGCUUACGAAAUUUUCAGCUUUCGAGUUCAGUUUUAAUCUUGCUCUCUUCUCACUUUCAGGUUGAGUAAUGUGCUGUUUUGUGCAAGUCUUGAUUUGUAGGAAUCUGAUUCUAUGUGUAGGAGGGAAGAAAAGCAGCAAUGAGAAGUAAGAAAAAGCUGGUAACAGUCAAUUAAAUUGGAGUAAGCUUCAACAAGUGAAAAUGUGUCACUAUCAGGCAUGGGAAGGUGAUUCACCUCAGCAUGAAGAUUCUCUCCUUAGUAUUGCAGAUGGCAUUGACAAUGUAGCAUCCUGGGAAAGGAGGUUGGACAUGUUGGCAGCUCGUGUAGCAAGGAUUGAGGCUCUUGUACUAGGACUAGAGGCAAGGUUGUUGUUCCUCCGAAGGGCAUUGCGACUUGUAACUAUCACGUUUCUUCUUACACUAGUCUAUGCUAUAAUCAAAUGAAUGUUUUAAUGACAAAUUCUUCUGUUGUAGCUCUAUUUCUCUUCAUUAGAAAUCUAGUUAGGUGCCUGAUGAUUCUUGCUCUCAAACUGUAAGCUGUCAAAUUUAAGAAAUUCGGUGAAAAGAGAAAGAAAUAUUGUCCAUUAACCUCUAUGCAAAUGAUGAUCAUAACCAUGCUUUGCCUUUAUGAUUGGCAAUCGCUAAUUAUCAA